CGUAGGAGGCGAGCGUUAUCCGGAUUCACUGGGCGUAAAGCGCGUGCAGGUGGCGCGGUAAGUUGGGCGUGAAAUCUCCCGGCUCAACUGGGAGAGGUCGUCCAAUACUACCGGGCUUGAGAGCAGAAGAGGAAGAUGGAAUUCCCGGUGUAGUGGUGAAAUGCGUAGAUAUCGGGAGGAACACCAGUGGCGAAGGCGAUCUUCUGGUCUGUUUCUGACACUCAGACGCGACAGCUAGGGUAGUAAACGGGAUUAGAGACCCCGGUAAUCCUAGCCGUAAACGAUGUGAACUUGGCGUUGGUGGGUUAAACUCCAUCAGUGCCGUAGCAAACGCGAUAAGUUCACCGCCUGGGGACUACGGCCGCAAGGUUA
This 372-nucleotide ribosomal RNA is filed under the name uncultured organism. Its description in RNAcentral is "bacterial SSU rRNA". It matches the Rfam family "Bacterial small subunit ribosomal RNA", at positions 526 to 896 of the family's 1533-position model. The record is from RNAcentral.